This 249-nucleotide unclassified non-coding RNA is filed under the name Hevea brasiliensis (rubber tree). The record is from RNAcentral. Lineage: Eukaryota; Viridiplantae; Streptophyta; Magnoliopsida; Malpighiales; Euphorbiaceae.
AAAAAAUCUUAGGACCUUAUUGGCCUCCUUUAUGUGAAGUUUCACUGGAAUGAGAAAUAUUGUGAACCUUAUUCCUUGAACUUCUAUUGUCAAUAGUAUUUUGAAAUGAAGAUAUGGGGUGUUCUAGUGAUUGUUGUCACCUCAAUCAAGAUGAGGUUAUGUGGUUAUGAUUACUUAUAUUAAGCAGGUCAACUUGAUGAGGUGCAUGCCUCAUUCCUCCACAGCAUAUCACAGAAUUUUUGAAGAGAA